Scomber scombrus (Atlantic mackerel) is the source of this 1226-nucleotide long non-coding RNA. RefSeq lists it as uncharacterized. The transcript has 4 exons. The record is from RefSeq and is a predicted model, not a curated record. NCBI's taxonomy places the organism in Eukaryota, Metazoa, Chordata, Actinopteri, Scombriformes, Scombridae.
AGCUUUUGUGUGAGUAUUUACAGCUCUACAUGAAAUACUGGUUUACAAGAAUCAGCCGCAAAACCAUGGCUACAGUCACUGUUGAAUAUUGUAAAGGAUGAAGCUAUGCGUACCGCUACCAGGAGCUGGCUGGUGCCAUAAGGCAGGUUCCUGGUGUGCUAGUGACGGGAGUCAAGGGGAGAACAGACAGUUUCGAGGUGUCACUGAAUGGUGAACUGAUCCACUCCAAGCUGGAUACAGAAGUGUUUCCUGAUACUUCACAGAUGGUGGAGUUGGUGAAGAAGACGGUUGGGGUAAAAGGGGGGGAAAAAACAUCAAAGGCAGUGAACCAGAAGAACAAAUGUGUUCACCAUUAGAAGAUGAAAGAUACAACAGGAUCCCUCACACCCACCUAUUUGAAUACAAGAAAAUAUGACACAUUUGUGUUUGUAGACCAAAAUCAAGGCCUUUAAGUUUCACCAUCAUGAAAAGAUCAGACCUCAUGAAUACGGACAAAGACAAGAAGGUGAUGAGAGAGCUUUGAGGAGCUGGGCACUGAUUCGUACUUCUAUUUAUGAAUGUAUGCACUGAAAACAUGGGUGUGUACACGACGCAAACCAAGAAGCUUUUCAGCUGACCUGGAGCCUGAGAAACUGCUCUCAUCAUGUCCAUCUGGCAUAAAUAAAAUAUCUACACAGCUGCAUGUACAGAAUGCAGAAAAUCCGAAAAUAUAACUCCUUAUCAAUCCACAUAUUUAUUUCAUAUUUAGCUUUUCUGUGUUUAGAUAACUUCUGAAGUUUCCUGUCACAUGCCAGGAGUUUAAAGAAAUAGUUUGACAUUUUUGGUAAAACGCUUAUUAGCUUUAGCUUUUAUGCUGCGAGUUAAACAAGAAGACUGACAGCUUCCCCUAAUGAGAGAGGCGUUGAUGUUCUCAUCUAAUUCUCUGUAAGAAAGUGAAUCGGCAUGUUUCUUGAAAAACGCCCAACUAUGUGAUCUUUGUGUGUUUGCUGGCAGAAUGUGCACCACUAAUUUCCUCUUGCUUGUCAUUUAUACUCUCAAACACUUCAUGAACAUGGACUCAUAUCUGCCAUUUAUGCCCUUCUUUCUGUUCCCUGUAUGGUGUUUGGUUUGGUUGUGAUGAGCUGAGCACUGCAAAUGUUACACAUAACAUGUAACUAUUUAAAUGACUUACUGUUAUGCUGUUGUUAACCAGUUUUUAACCAAUCCCAACAAGAAAUGCAAUAAAA